RNAcentral lists this ribosomal RNA (1532 nucleotides) under uncultured bacterium. RNAcentral describes it as "bacterial SSU rRNA". It matches the Rfam family "Bacterial small subunit ribosomal RNA". The record is from RNAcentral.
AGAGUUUGAUCCUGGACUCAGAACGAACGCUGGCGGCGUGCUUAACACAUGCAAGUCGAACGAGAAAGUUCCCUUCGGGGAAUGAGUAGAUGUGGCGCACGGGUGAGAGAACACGUAGGUGAUCUACCCUUUGCUGGGGAACAACCCCGCGGAAACCGAAGCUAAUUCCGUAUAAGUCUUUCAGACUGCGGUCUGAAAGAGAGAGGUGACCUCUUCAUGAAAGUUAUCGGCGAAGGAUGAGCCUGCGUAUCAUUAGCUUGUUGGUGGGGUAAAGGCCUACCAAGGCUUCGAUGAUUAGCUGGUCUGAGAGGAUGAUCAGCCACACUGGAACUGAGACACGGUCCAGACUCCUACGGGAGGCAGCAGUGGGGAAUAUUGCGCAAUGGGCGAAAGCCUGACGCAGCAACGCCGCGUGAGUGAUGAAAGGUUUUCGGAUCGUAAAGCUCUGUCAGGGAGGGACGAAUCAUUAUCCGGAACAAUACCCGGGUGACAUGACGGUACCCCCAGAGGAAGCACCGGCUAACUCCGUGCCAGCAGCCGCGGUAAUACGGAGUGGUGCAAGCGUUGUUCGGAAUUACUGGGCGUAAAGCGCGUGUAGGCGUGAUUCAGAAGUCGGGUGUGAAAGCCCCGGGCUCAACCCGGGAAGUGCGCUCGAACACCAUGAGUCUUGAGGUCCGGAGGGGAUCGGGGAAUUCCUGGUGUAGAGGUGAAAUUCGUAGAUAUCAGGAGGAACACCGGUGGCGAAGGCGCCGAUCUGGACGGAUUCUGACGCUGAGACGCGUAAAGCGUGGGGAGCAAACUAGGAUUAGAUACCCUGGUAGUCCACGCCGUAAACGAUGUGCACUAGGUGUCGGGGGUAUUGACCCCCCCGGUGCCGACGCUAACGCAUUAAGUGCACCGCCUGGGAAGUACGGCCGCAAGGCUGAAACUCAAAGGAAUUGACGGGGGCCCGCACAAGCGGUGGAGUAUGUGGUUCAAUUCGACGCUAACGCGAUAAAACCUUACCUGGGCUUGACAUCUGGAGAAUCCCCUAGAAAUAGGGGAGUGCCCUUCGGGGAAUUCCAAGACAGGUGCUGCAUGGCUGUCGUCAGCUCGUGUCGUGAGAUGUUGGGUUAAGUCCCGCAACGAGCGCAACCCUUGUCCUUAGUUGCACCAGUUCGGCUGAGCACUCUAGGGAGACCGCCGGUGUUAAACCGGAGGAAGGUGGGGAUGACGUCAAGUCCUCAUGGCCCUUAUGCCUGGGGCUACACACGUACUACAAUGGCCGGUACAGAGGGUAGCCAAGCCGCGAGGUGGAGCUAAUCUCAAAAAGCCGGUCUAAGUUCGGAUUGGUCUCUGCAACUCGAGACCAUGAAGCUGGAAUCGCUAGUAAUCGCUGAUCAGAAUGCAGCGGUGAAUACGUUCCCGGGCCUUGUACACACCGCCCGUCACACCACGAAAGUUGUUUAUACCAGAAGUACGUGACCCAACCUUCGGGAGGGAGCGUCCCAAGGUAUGAGCGAUGAUUGGGGUGAAGUCGUAACAAGGUAACC